GGGGGGGGGGGGGGGGGGGGGGGGGGCGGGGGGGGCGGGCGGGGGGGGGGGGCGUGGGGGGGGGGCUCGGGGGGCGGACGGGGGGGGAACACGUGAGUAACCUGCCCUUGACUUUGGGAUAACUUCAGGAAACUGGGGCUAAUACCGGAUAGGAGCUCCUGCUGCAUGGUGGGGGUUGGAAAGUUUCGGCGGUUGGGGAUGGACUCGCGGCUUAUCAGCUUGUUGGUGGGGUAGUGGCUUACCAAGGCUUUGACGGGUAGCCGGCCUGAGAGGGUGACCGGCCACAUUGGGACUGAGAUACGGCCCAGACUCCUACGGGAGGCAGCAGUGGGGAAUAUUGCACAAUGGGCGGAAGCCUGAUGCAGCAACGCCGCGUGCGGGAUGACGGCCUUCGGGUUGUAAACCGCUUUCGCCUGUGACGAAGCGUGAGUGACGGUAAUGGGUAAAGAAGCACCGGCUAACUACGUG
This 468-nucleotide ribosomal RNA is filed under the name uncultured bacterium. Its description in RNAcentral is "partial 16S ribosomal RNA". The stretch from base 49 to 468 matches the Rfam family "Bacterial small subunit ribosomal RNA", at positions 39 to 507 of the family's 1533-position model. The record is from RNAcentral.